UACGUAGGGUGCAAGCGUUGUCCGGAAUUAUUGGGCGUAAAGAGCUCGUAGGCGGUUUGGUGAGUCGGGUGUGAAAUCUCCACGCUCAACGUGGAGGGGCCACCCGAUACUGCCAUGACUAGAGUCCGGUAGGGGAGUGUGGAAUUCCCGGUGUAGCGGUGGAAUGCGUAGAGAUCGGGAGGAACACCUGUGGCGAAGGCGGCCGACUGGGCCGACCCUGACGCUGAGGCGCGAAGGCGUGGGGAGCGAACGGG
This 254-nucleotide ribosomal RNA is filed under the name uncultured bacterium. RNAcentral's name for it is "partial 16S ribosomal RNA". It matches the Rfam family "Bacterial small subunit ribosomal RNA", at positions 524 to 776 of the family's 1533-position model. The record is from RNAcentral.